This 308-nucleotide small nuclear RNA is filed under the name Ailuropoda melanoleuca (giant panda). RNAcentral's name for it is "7SK RNA". It matches the Rfam family "7SK RNA". Rfam says of the family: 7SK was discovered as an abundant small nuclear RNA in the mid-70s but a possible function has only recently been suggested. Lineage: Eukaryota; Metazoa; Chordata; Mammalia; Carnivora; Ursidae. The record is from Rfam by way of RNAcentral.
GGAUGUGAGGGUGAUCUGGCUGUGACAUCUCUCACCCCAUUGAUCACCAGGGUGGAUUCCCCUGAUCUGGCUGGCCAGACGGGUGUCCCCUUCCUCCCUCACACCUCCACGUAUGUCCCUCCCAAAACUGUGUACUCUGGUCAAAGAGAACAACCUUCCCAGAGAGAGGAAGACCCUUCUCCAGUCAAGGGUGUACUAGUAGCUGUGCUUCUGGGCUAGAACCUCCAAACAAGCUCUCAAGGCCGUUUGGAGGAGAACGUAGGGACCCAUCCAGAUGAGGCGCUGCAGGUGGCUGUCUGCCUUUCUUU